Molecule: long non-coding RNA, 312 nt
Organism: Engraulis encrasicolus (European anchovy)
Lineage: Eukaryota; Metazoa; Chordata; Actinopteri; Clupeiformes; Engraulidae
Exons: 3
Source: RefSeq, a predicted model, not a curated record
CUCAACACAGAUUGUAAUGGAGGACGGUGCUAAGGAGAGGAUGAUGGAACAUGCUGACAGUCACGGUGUGCGGUCUCACCAUGGAAAAUUACAUUGAAAGUUCCUGCUGAAUGGGCCAUGCUAAACGUACAGCUCAGCUACAGCACGACGAUGAACAGCCACAUUACAGGUGUAACUAAAGAACCAAUGUGACUGCAACAAAGAGCUGCACCGUGGAUUGCUUGGCCCAAAGCCUAUUCAGCUGCUGACAGCCUUGGCUGGACCCUGGACAAUGUCAUUCAUCUUCCACUCCCCCCCACCCCCCCCCCCAAA